This is a long non-coding RNA of Eubalaena glacialis (North Atlantic right whale), 1080 nucleotides long. RefSeq lists it as uncharacterized. The transcript has 3 exons. Lineage: Eukaryota; Metazoa; Chordata; Mammalia; Artiodactyla; Balaenidae. The record is from RefSeq and is a predicted model, not a curated record.
GAAGUGAGGGCGGGGAGAGCCCGCGCGCGCGCUCGCCGAAGGCUUGGGGGAAGAGGGGGAUGGGAACGCGCGGGAAAAGAAUGCAGUCCUGAGGGCACCGCGCCCAGGAGUUAAGGGCUAAAUGAGAGUCCCAACCACGGUGAAGGAGAGCUAGUGGCCCGCCAUCCCCUUCCAGAGUCCCAGAAGAAAAGGCGGUGGGCUCCCUCCGUUCCCUCUUCCCGGGCCCCAGCCGUUCUCCACAAACCGGGAUCUAUCUGCUCUCAUCCUCGGCCCUCGCCUUGCUCUUCGCCCUCCAAAUGGACAGCGGUGGCGCCAGCCCUCUCUAGCUAGAGGCCCUCCGUGCUCCCCCGGGCUCGCUUCUCCCCGUUUUCCCGAGAGAGGCCGGCGGUCCACUCACCAUGGUGGCUACGGGUCAGCAGGCGCAGGCAACAGGAGUAGACACCGGGUCCCGGUUACCGUUCUCGACAAGCUAAGAGUCGAGGGGCUUCCCUGGUGGCGCAGUGGUUAAGAAUCCGCCUGCCAAUGCAGGGGACAUGGGUUCAAGCCCUGGUCCAGAAAGAUCCCACAUGCCGCAGAGCGACUAAGCCCGUGCGCCACAACUACUGAGCCUGUGCUCUGGAGACUGCGAUCCACAACUACUGAAGCCUGCGCGCCUAGAGCCCGUGCUCCGCAACAAGAGAAGCCACUGCAAUGAAAAACCCGCAUACCACAAUGAAGAGUAGCCCCCGCUGGCCGCAACUAGAGAAAGCCCGCGCACAGCAAGGAAGACCCAACGCAGCCAAAAAUAAAUAAAAUAAAAAUAAAAAAUAAAUAAAUUUUUAAAAAACCAACUCUAUAUCUUACCAAGGUCUUAAGCAUUGGAGAUCAUCUUGAAGUUUGAGCUAACGUCACUCUCUUGGAAUGUGGACAUGAUGACUGGAGUUCUAGCAACCAUCUAUGAUAAUAAAGUGAUCUUAAGCCAUUGCUAAGGAUGGAGGAAGAUGGACUCUAGAUCCCUGAUGAUACUGUGGAGCUACCACAUAAACCGUGGAUUGCCUACCUCUGGACUUCUCAUUAUGGGAGAAAAUAAAACAAUUUGUU